AGAGAGAGACAUGCGCGCAUAUCAAUAAGCGGAGGAAAAGAAACUAACAAGGAUUCCCUUAGUAACGGCGAGUGAAGCGGGAAGAGCUCAAAUUUGAAAUCUUCAAGGUUCUACCUUGACGAAUUGUAGUUUAUAGAAGUGUUUUCUGUUAGUGGAGUGGCAAAAGUUCUUUGGAAUAGGACAUCAUAGAGGGUGAGAAUCCCGUAUUUGGUCAUUCCUCCUAGCGUUGUGAUACACUUUCAACGAGUCGGAUUGUUUGGGAAUGCAGUCCAAAAUGGGUGGUAAAUUUCAUCUAAAGCUAAAUAUUGGCGAGAGCCGAUAGCGAACAAGUACCGUGAGGGAAAGAUGAAAAGAACUUUGAAAAGAGAGUUAAACAGUACGUGAAAUUGUCAAAAGGGAAGCGUUUGACACCAGUGUUGUUUUUCCGAAAAUCAAUUACGAAUGUUUUGUUUUUGAGGAGUUAUGACUUCAUCGGCUUGCUCCUUUCUUUACGAAACUUUCUUAAUGCACUUUUCGGUUAACAAGUCAACAUCAAUUUCUUUUGUUGUAAAAGGGUAUGAGGGAAGGUGGCUUUCUUUUCGGAGAAAGUGUUUAUAGCCUUGUGCCUCUGCAAUCGGAAAGAUUGAGGUCUGCAGCGUAGAUCCUUCGGGGUUAGAUACGUUUGUGCUAAGUUAUAGCUUUUCAUAGACAACUUGUUGACUAUGUUUAGUCUUGUAGCUUACUCGCUGACGCUAUUUUACCUACGCUUAGGAUGUUGAUAGUCACAGCGUGUAC
This 774-nucleotide ribosomal RNA is filed under the name uncultured Neocallimastigales. Its description in RNAcentral is "partial large subunit ribosomal RNA". It matches the Rfam family "Eukaryotic large subunit ribosomal RNA", at positions 23 to 644 of the family's 3401-position model. The record is from RNAcentral. Lineage: Eukaryota; Fungi; Neocallimastigomycota; Neocallimastigomycetes; Neocallimastigales.